RNAcentral lists this transfer RNA (28 nucleotides) under Satyrium rhynchanthum. RNAcentral describes it as "partial tRNA-Phe". Lineage: Eukaryota; Viridiplantae; Streptophyta; Magnoliopsida; Asparagales; Orchidaceae. The record is from RNAcentral.
GUUGGGAUAGCUCAGUUGGUAGAGCAGA